AGUUAAAACUUUCAACAACGGAUCUCUUGGUUCUGGCAUCGAUGAAGAACGCAGCGAAAUGCGAUAAGUAAUGUGAAUUGCAGAAUUCAGUGAAUCAUCGAAUCUUUGAACGCACAUUGCGCCCAUUAGUAUUCUAGUGAGCAUGCCUGUUCGAGCGUCAUUUCAACCCUCA
RNAcentral lists this ribosomal RNA (172 nucleotides) under Cryptosphaeria pullmanensis. RNAcentral's name for it is "5.8S ribosomal RNA". The stretch from base 7 to 160 matches the Rfam family "5.8S ribosomal RNA". Rfam says of the family: 5.8S ribosomal RNA (5.8S rRNA) is a component of the large subunit of the eukaryotic ribosome. It is transcribed by RNA polymerase I as part of the 45S precursor that also contains 18S and 28S rRNA. Functionally, it is thought that 5.8S rRNA may be involved in ribosome translocation. The record is from RNAcentral. Lineage: Eukaryota; Fungi; Ascomycota; Sordariomycetes; Xylariales; Diatrypaceae.